AGUGAACGCUGGCGGUAGGCCUAACACAUGCAAGCCGAACGGCAGCACAGUAAGAGCUUGCUCUUACGGGUGGCGAGUGGCGGACGGGUGAGGAAUACAUCGGAAUCUACUUUUUCGUGGGGGAUAACGUAGGGAAACUUACGCUAAUACCGCAUACGACCUACGGGUGAAAGCAGGGGAUCUUCGGACCUUGCGCGAUUGAAUGAGCCGAUGUCGGAUUAGCUAGUUGGCGGGGUAAAGGCCCACCAAGGCGACGAUCCGUAGCUGGUCUGAGAGGAUGAUCAGCCACACUGGAACUGAGACACGGUCCAGACUCCUACGGGAGGCAGCAGUGGGGAAUAUUGGACAAUGGGCGCAAGCCUGAUCCAGCCAUACCGCGUGGGUGAAGAAGGCCUUCGGGUUGUAAAGCCCUUUUGUUGGGAAAGAAAAGCGGCAGGUUAAUACCCCGCUGUUCUGACGGUACCCAAAGAAUAAGCACCGGCUAACUUCGUG
Molecule: ribosomal RNA, 492 nt
Filed under: uncultured bacterium
Lineage: Bacteria
Description: partial 16S ribosomal RNA
Rfam family: Bacterial small subunit ribosomal RNA
Source: RNAcentral